This is an RNA transcript of Capsicum annuum, 2053 nucleotides long. RefSeq lists it as uncharacterized. The transcript is spliced from 2 exons. Lineage: Eukaryota; Viridiplantae; Streptophyta; Magnoliopsida; Solanales; Solanaceae. The record is from RefSeq and is a predicted model, not a curated record.
UGAAGAAAAAAUACGAGUAAUUAUAUUGAAUCAUAAGAAGAAAAGGUUGGAAAAUGAGAAGAAAAGAGAUGAAAGAUAAAUAAUGUAAAGUGAAAAAAAUAAAAAUAAAAAAGAAAUUAAAAUAAUAGAAAUAAAAAAUAAAAUUAAAAGAAAAAAAAUUAAAAUAAAAAAAAGAAAUAAAAUGUAACUUUAUAAUUACAUCACGUAAUUGAACUUAAUUCUCUAUUCCUAAUUGAAAAUUAGACUAUAUAAUUAUACCUAAUUUCACUUUCUUUGUGAUUCUCGGAUAAAAAGAUUGUUUUCGACAGAUUCCCCGCUCUUAUCAAAAGCCAACAAAAAAGGAAAAAUAUCUCUUCCAAUAUAUUCUUUCCUUCCAUCACUUUCCAGCUGUUUAAGAAUUUGUUUGUCUUUUUUUUGGAUCCAAAGCUUUUCGCUCUCAUACUUUCUCUCUCUCUAAUUCUUGAAUUCCAUCUGUCUGUCAAAGCCUUCAUCCAAAUCAGUUACUAAAAAAAUUAGCUGAAAAUUCAUAAAGUUGACAUUUGGGAAUUUGUAAAUGGACCAAACUCAUGGUGUCUAUAUCCCAUGCUGACCUACUAUUUUGAUAUGUAUGCUUAAAACUUGAAGCUUUCGAGAGCUAACAAAGGAGAUAUAUUUAGGUGUUUCAAGUGAUCAAAUGCGGUCAUCUGGAUUUACCCUCUGAUGUAUUUUUGAACCUUUGGUCGGCUAAAAAGGGAGGUAAUUUUGGGUGUUGUAUGAAAUAAUCAAUACGGUCACUUAUUUAGUAUGAUGUUUAGUAUUAUGAUGAUAUGAUACGAGCUGAAAUGAAGAAGUGGGGAUUCAUAUAGCCGACCUCAACUUGUUUGCGACCGAGGCAUAGUUGUUAUUAUUAUCGUACAAAGAUUGAAGCUUUGGUGAGCUAUUUCAAAGUGAUCAAAUGGGGUCAUCUGGUUUUUUCCUCUUGUGCAUACUUCAUUCUAUGGUGGCGUUAACUUCUGGAGCUUUAAUGAUGUUUUACAGCAACGAGGUAUUUAUAUUUAGCCACGGUAGAGAACGUGCCAGUAAGCUUUUUGGAUCGACACCCCAUGACCAAUUGAUAAUCCGAACAUCAGAUUCGUUCUCUGGACUGCUUUUAUUCGCAAUUGGUUUUUUCUUGUUCAUGGUUGCAUUCGUAAAAGAUAGAGAGUUCCAUAGUUUCUUUGCGAAGGGAUGUGUCCUCCUUCAUAUAGCUAUGGCUAUUUGGAGAAUAUACUUUGAGAGGAAACUCGAGGAGGAUCUCGGCCAUGAUUGGCUGAGAUUGGUUGUUGCUGAUACUGCUUUAGGACUUUCUUGGGUUUUCUUUCUUGUGUAUUCUUGGAGAGAGAAGUAUGAUUAGUCUUCAUCGGGGAGCGAUACAGAGAAGAUUAGCAUGACGUGAACGAAUCAAGAAAAGUGUGAUUAGUCGUUGUUACCUAUUACGCUUCCUUUGUUUCAUAUAUGGAUCUUGUGGUUGUUUCUGACAUUGCUUUAGGACCUUCUUGGGUUUUCUUUCUUGUGUAUUCUUGGGGAACGAUACUAAGAAAUUAGCACGGACCAUUGUUCAACGAUGACACGAACGAAUUGGGAAAAGUGUGAUUACUUUUUUUUUUUGCCUACUACACUGGAUCUUGUGGUUGUUUCCGACACUGCUUUAGGACGUGGAUUUUCUUUCUUGUGCAUUCUUGGAGAACGAGGUAUAUUAGUCGAUGGUAAAUUGGAACAAUACAGCGAAGAUCAGCAUGGUCUGCUCAAAUUUCGUAUCGUUAGUCUUGGUGUGCCUAUUACACUUUGUGGUUGCCAUUUUCAUUCCUUAAAGGACACAUUUGAGUCCAUGUUCACAUUUUUAUUUCACAAGGCGAAAGAAAUCGUUCUUGUUCAAGUAUCAAUCAACUACGUCUCGAUUCUGAACUAGAUGAAUUCGCCUAAAGAAUGUGUAAGUUUGCAGACUGAAAUCUGGUUUUGUUAUUGCUUGAGUUAUAGGAAGCUACUUUGCAAGUUAGAUGAUGAAACACAACCAGAUUGUGCUUCUUUACUUAAA